AAACAUUUUGUUAACAAAUUGUUUAUUAUAAUGCAAUUACGUAUAUAGAUAGAUAUAUGUAUAUAAAGAUAUAUUUACAGGCUGGGACACACGCAUAGCGAAUGAGGCAACAAAACACAUGGACGAAUAAAUAGAAAAAAUAGUAAACAAACCCAAAACCUAAUUGAGAUGAACAUGAGUUGAGUAUUGAGAAAGGGAUUGGGAAUGGGAUAGGAAAUGGAAUGGGGAAUGGGGAUGAGC
Long non-coding RNA from Drosophila arizonae, 240 nucleotides. NCBI's taxonomy places the organism in Eukaryota, Metazoa, Arthropoda, Insecta, Diptera, Drosophilidae. The record is from RefSeq and is a predicted model, not a curated record.